Molecule: ribosomal RNA, 460 nt
Filed under: uncultured bacterium
Lineage: Bacteria
Description: partial 16S ribosomal RNA
Rfam family: Bacterial small subunit ribosomal RNA
Source: RNAcentral
CCUACGGGAGGCAGCAGUGAGGAAUAUUGGUCAAUGGACGAGAGUCUGAACCAGCCAAGUAGCGUGAAGGAUGACUGCCCUAUGGGUUGUAAACUUCUUUUAUAUGGGAAUAAAACGUUCCACGUGUGGGAUUUUGUAUGUACCAUAUGAAUAAGGAUCGGCUAACUCCGUGCCAGCAGCCGCGGUAAUACGGAGGAUCCGAGCGUUAUCCGGAUUUAUUGGGUUUAAAGGGUGCGUAGGUGGAGUGUUAAGUCAGUUGUGAAAGUUUGCGGCUCAACCGUAAAAUUGCAGUUAAAACUGGCAGUCUUGAGUACGGUAGAGGUGGGCGGAAUGCGUGGUGUAGCGGUGAAAUGCUUAGAUAUCACGAAGAACUCCGAUUGCGAAGGCAGUUCACUGGACUGCAACUGACACUGAGGCUCGAAAGUGUGGGUAUCAAACAGGAUUAGAUACCCGAGUAGUC